UAACACGUAGGUAAUNUGCCCAUCAGACGGGGGCAACGAUUGGAAACGAUCGCUAAUACCGGAUAGGACGAAAGUUUAAAGAUGCUCCUGGCAUCACUGAUGGAUGAGCCUGCGGCGCAUUAGCUAGUUGGUGGGGUAAAGGCCUACCAAGGCGACGAUGCGUAGCCGACCUGAGAGGGUGAACGGCCACACUGGGACUGAGACACGGCCCAGACUCCUACGGGAGGCAGCAGUAGGGAAUCUUCGGCAAUGGGCGAAAGCCUGACCGAGCAACGCCGCGUGAAUGAAGAAGGCCUUCGGGUUGUAAAAUUCUGUUAUAAGGGAAGAAAGGUGAUAGGAGGAAAUGACUAUCAAUUGACGGUACCUUAUGAGAAAGCCACGGCUAACUACGUGCCAGCAGCCGCGGUAAUACGUAGGUGGCAAGCGUUAUCCGGAAUUAUUGGGCGUAAAGAGCGCGCAGGUGGNUAAUUAAGUCUGAUGUGAAAGCCCACGGCUUAACCGUGGAGGGUCAUUGGAAACUGGUUGACUUGAGUGCAGAAGAGGGAAGUGGAAUUCCAUGUGUAGCGGUGAAAUGCGUANAGAUAUGNAGGAACACCNGUGGCGAAGGCGGCUUCCUGGNCUGCAACUGANACUGAGGNGCGAAAGCGUGNGGAGCAAACAGGAUUAGAUACCCCUGGUNGU
This 681-nucleotide ribosomal RNA is filed under the name uncultured bacterium. Its description in RNAcentral is "bacterial SSU rRNA". It matches the Rfam family "Bacterial small subunit ribosomal RNA", at positions 111 to 794 of the family's 1533-position model. The record is from RNAcentral.